AUGAAGGCCUUAGGGUCGUAAAGCACUUUCGCCUGUGAAGAUAAUGACUGUAGCAGGUAAAGAAACCCCGGCUAACUCCGUGCCAGCAGCCGCGGUAAUACGGAGGGGGUUAGCGUUGUUCGGAAUUACUGGGCGUAAAGCGCGCGUAGGCGGGCUGGAAAGUUGGGGGUGAAAUCCCGGGGCUCAACCCCGGAACUGCCUCCAAAACUCCCAGACUAGAGGUCGAGAGAGGUGAGUGGAAUUCCGAGUGUAGAGGUGAAAUUCGUAGAUAUUCGGAGGAACACCAGUGGCGAAGGCGGCUCACUGGCUCGAUACUGACGCUGAGGUGCGAAAGUGUGGGGAGCAAACAGGAUUAGAUACCCUGGUAGUCCACACCGUAAACGAUGAAUGCCAGUCGUCGGG
Molecule: ribosomal RNA, 402 nt
Filed under: Tritonibacter mobilis
Lineage: Bacteria; Pseudomonadati; Pseudomonadota; Alphaproteobacteria; Rhodobacterales; Paracoccaceae
Description: bacterial SSU rRNA
Rfam family: Bacterial small subunit ribosomal RNA
Source: RNAcentral